GCCGACGUGGUGAAAUUUGGCAGACACGUACGCUUCAGGGGCGUAUGGCCGAAAGGCUUUGCGGGUUCAAGUCCCGCCGUCGGCA
RNAcentral lists this transfer RNA (85 nucleotides) under Chloroflexota bacterium. RNAcentral describes it as "Chloroflexi bacterium (soil metagenome) tRNA-Leu". It matches the Rfam family "tRNA". Rfam says of the family: Transfer RNA (tRNA) molecules are approximately 80 nucleotides in length. Lineage: Bacteria; Bacillati; Chloroflexota. The record is from RNAcentral.